This is a non-coding RNA of Pangasianodon hypophthalmus (striped catfish), 437 nucleotides long. Lineage: Eukaryota; Metazoa; Chordata; Actinopteri; Siluriformes; Pangasiidae. The record is from the annotation of a RefSeq genome assembly.
AUGUUCACUGUUAUAUUCAUGUGUCUGUGGCUUUCACUAGGUGACUCCAUGGCAGAUUCAAUACAGCCACUUUCCCCUCGUGAAGUUGUAGAUGAAGGUGAUGAUGUUACUCUGUCCUGCAAAUACAAACCCAGCAGUGCUACAGGAAACUACCUCCAGUGGUACAGACAAUAUCCAAAAUCUAAACCUGAGUUCCUUCUUUAUAUUUCUCAAACUGGAGAUCUGAGUCCCAAGCCUCCCCCAAGAAUGUCUGCUAAAGUUGACAAUAAUAAAGAUAAUAACCAAGUGGAUCUGCUCAUCUCCUCUGCUGCUGUAUCAGACUCUGCACUAUACUACUGUGCUCUGCGGCCCACAGUGACAGGAAAUCCAACUGCACAAAAACUUUAACACAGUUUUGUUCUACUGAAUAUAGAGCAAAUGCAAAGUUCAAUAAUUUA